RNAcentral lists this ribosomal RNA (466 nucleotides) under uncultured bacterium. RNAcentral describes it as "partial 16S ribosomal RNA". It matches the Rfam family "Bacterial small subunit ribosomal RNA", at positions 28 to 507 of the family's 1533-position model. The record is from RNAcentral.
GACGAACGCUGGCGGUGUGCUUAACACAUGCAAGUCGAACGGUAAGGCCCUUUCGGGGGUACACGAGUGGCGAACGGGUGAGUAACACGUGAGUAACCUGCCCUCAUCUCUGGGAUAACAGUCGGAAACGGUUGCUAAUACUGGAUAUGAGCUUGCAAGGCAUCUUGUGGGUUGGAAAGAUUUUUUUGGUUGGGGAUGGACUCGCGGCCUAACAGCUUGUUGGUGAGGUAGUGGCUCACCAAGGCUUCGACGGGUAGCCGGCCUGAGAGGGCGACCGGCCACAUUGGGACUGAGAUACGGCCCAAACUCCUACGGGAGGCAGCAGUGGGGAAUAUUGCACAAUGGACGGAAGUCUGAUGCAGCAACGCCGCGUGCGGGAUGACGGCCUUCGGGUUGUAAACCGCUUUCAAUUGUGACGAAGCUUUUUGUGACGGUAGCAGUAGAAGAAGCACCGGCUAACUACGUG